This 407-nucleotide long non-coding RNA is filed under the name Salvia miltiorrhiza (redroot sage). Its description in RNAcentral is "long non-coding RNA (SMIL_LNC012619)". The record is from RNAcentral. Lineage: Eukaryota; Viridiplantae; Streptophyta; Magnoliopsida; Lamiales; Lamiaceae.
GGAUUAAAGAGAAGUGAAUGAAGAAUUGAAUAGAGAAGUGAAUGGGAUUGAUAUAUAUAUAUAGAGGACUUUUUUUUUUUAAAGGUAAAACAACCGUUGAACGGUUGCCUCCCUCAACAGUAAAAUUCCAACGGUCCGAUUUUUUUUUUUAAUCGGACAAAAUUAGGUGAUUGGGUGUAACACCCCAAUUUUCAUAAACUCUACUAUUUAAAAAAAAAUUAGAGAACAAAAGAUAGUAAAAUAAUAAUUUCUUGAUUUAUAAAGAAAAUUUAAACUAAUUUCAAAGUCAACUUGCCAAAACUAAAGUAGUAUCAUAAAAAUAAAAUAAAACUUAAUAAUUUCAACUAGAAUGUUCAAUGUAAAAUCCUUAUCCCUAGUCAUUCUCCACUUCCAUGGCCACUUCGACU